CCCUUAGAUGUCCUGGGCCGCACGCGCGCUACACUGAGUGUCUGAGAUACGAGUCUGCCUGGUCCGGCAAGGUCUAGGUAAUCGCUAAAAGACACAUCAUGCUUGGGAUAGAUUAUUGCAAAUAUUAAUCUUGAACGAGGAAUUCCUAGUAAGCGCAAGUCAACAGCUUGCGUUGAUUACGUCCCUGCCCUUUGUACACACCGCCCGUCGCUACUACUGAUUGGAUGUUUUAGCGAGGUUCUCGAACUGCUAGCGACUUAGCUUCGGUGAGGUCGCAGUGUGGGAAGUGAACCUAGCUUUGGUGUCUAGAGGAAGUAAAAGUCGUAACA
Molecule: ribosomal RNA, 329 nt
Filed under: uncultured eukaryote
Lineage: Eukaryota
Description: partial 18S ribosomal RNA
Rfam family: Eukaryotic small subunit ribosomal RNA
Source: RNAcentral